RNAcentral lists this ribosomal RNA (433 nucleotides) under uncultured bacterium. RNAcentral's name for it is "partial 16S ribosomal RNA". It matches the Rfam family "Bacterial small subunit ribosomal RNA", at positions 29 to 507 of the family's 1533-position model. The record is from RNAcentral.
AACGAACGCUGGCGGCAUGCCUAACACAUGCAAGUCGAACGAGACCUUCGGGUCUAGUGGCGCACGGGUGCGUAACGCGUGGGAACCUGCCCUUAGGUUCGGAAUAACUCCCCGAAAGGGGUGCUAAUACCGGAUAAUGUCUUCGGACCAAAGAUUUAUCGCCUUUGGUUGGGCCCGCGUUGGAUUAGCUAGUUGGUAGGGUAAAAGCCUACCAAGGCGACGAUCCAUAGCUGGUCUGAGAGGAUGAUCAGCCACACUGGGACUGAGACACGGCCCAGACUCCUACGGGAGGAAGCAGUGGGGAAUAUUGAACAAUGGGCGAAAGCCUGAUCCAGCAAUGCCGCGUGAGUGAUGAAGGCCUUAGGGUUGUAAAGCUCUUUUACCCGGGAUGAUAAUGACAGUACCGGGAGAAUAAGCUCCGGCUAACUCCGUG